This 495-nucleotide ribosomal RNA is filed under the name uncultured bacterium. RNAcentral's name for it is "bacterial SSU rRNA". It matches the Rfam family "Bacterial small subunit ribosomal RNA", at positions 28 to 507 of the family's 1533-position model. The record is from RNAcentral.
GAUGAACGCUAGCGGCAGGCUUAACACAUGCAAGUCGAGGGGUAACAGGAUUUAGUUUACUAGAUUUGCUGACGACCGGCGCACGGGUGAGUAACGCGUAUACAAUUUUGCCUUUUACUGGAGGAUAGCCCAAAGAAAUUUGGAUUAAUACUCCAUAAUAAUGUUGGAUCGCAUGGUUCGGCAUUUAAAGUUCCGGCGGUAAGAGAUGAGUAUGCGUCCUAUUAGCUAGUUGGUAAGGUAACGGCUUACCAAGGCGACGAUAGGUAGGGGUCCUGAGAGGGAGAUCCCCACACUGGUACUGAGACACGGACCAGACUUCUACGGGAGGCAGCAGUGAGGAAUAUUGGUCAAUGGAGGCAACUCUGAACCAGCCAUGCCGCGUGCAGGAAGACGGCCCUAUGGGUUGUAAAGCACUUUCAGUGGGGAAGAAAAGCCUGAAGAUAAUACCUUCGGGUCUUGACGGUACCCACAGAAGAAGCACCGGCUAAUUCCGUG